RNAcentral lists this ribosomal RNA (252 nucleotides) under uncultured bacterium. Its description in RNAcentral is "partial 16S ribosomal RNA". It matches the Rfam family "Bacterial small subunit ribosomal RNA", at positions 525 to 776 of the family's 1533-position model. The record is from RNAcentral.
ACGGGGGGGGCAAGCGUUGUUCGGAAUUACUGGGCGUAAAGGGGUCGUAGGUGGCUUGUUAAGUCAGACGUGAAAUCCCUCGGCUCAACCGGGGAACUGCGUCUGAGACUGAUGAGCUCGAGUGCAGGAGAGGAACGCGGAAUUCCAGGUGUAGCGGUGAAAUGCGUAGAUAUCGAGAGGAACACCUGCGGCGAAGGCGGGUUGCUGGGCUGAUACUGACGCUGAUGCGCGAAAGCGUGGGGAGCGAACAGG